UGCUGCAACAUAAACGAGCACGGACCGAACAUCUUGGUGCUUUCUUUGUUUGGAUUUGCUCUGCGCUGGACCAAUGGACCAUGGAAAUAAAAAGCCUUUCGUUUCGUUCUUCCCAUGCUGGACUGGAACACAAAAACAGUUGUUCAGUUCAGCUCAGACACUUGUUUCUUUUGAACUGCUCGAAAACAAAAAAAAAGUGAAUGUGAAUGCCCAUUUGCCGGAUCGGAAUUGUUCCGAGAACACCGCACCGCGCUUGAUUGUUCCCCACGCAAUUUCUCACAUGGAUGGUUGGCAAGGCAAUCAUCAAAUCCACUCCACGACGACGACGGAGUGCGAGGUCCAGAGUGACAAUGCGACGCAUCCAGCAUAAAUAUGUGUUUGAUUGCAAUCGGUUCGGAGGUUGAGCAUAAGCGAGCAUUCAUCAUCGCUUGGGAUUUAUUGCGCAUCAAGAUGUAGGUAUGUACCGUCACGGCGUGGUGACGGCGGGUUUAUGUAGCUGUUCAAACCAACAGCAUGGAGAAGAGUUCCACGAACAUCGAACAGCGUCGGAUUAUGCUGUGUGAACGACUUCACAUUCCGAGAAAAAUCUUUUCACUGUCGUGUGUGCGCAUUUAUUUGAGCAUCAUCGUUUAAGGUCCACAGUUAGCUCCAUUAAACGAACCGUACGAAAACAGUGCAAGUGCCUUUCCCAAAUGUCGGUUCGGCGGGGUAUGAGAAGGUUCAUUUUACCGACGUUUCAUCUGGUACCGCGGGAGAAGCAUUGAACUGCAUAUUUCACGCACAUAACAUCGGAUUUAACGAUCUGUUUGGCGUUUAUUACACCCCGGCCAAUGUUACCCCUCCCUUGAACUGGGGUAGUCGGGCAAAGAGGGCAAAAGUUGCCGUUUUUCUGUCGUGACGAGUGUACAGAGGAAACUUUCUCUUCGCACGUGCCGAUAAUAAUGAUACUAAUUACACGUGAAAAAAAUCCCACGGAAAGCAUCUAAAACUAUUGGUGUAUUAAAUUUGCUUGUAUUUGACAUGACAUCAUCCUAAUAUCGGUCGCCCCCUUCAGGACACCGUAAAAUUGAAUGGAAAAUCGAUUCUUACCUGAGCCAACCAACUAGAGGUGUCUAUCUAGUACCAAACGAUUCGCCAGUGUGUCGCCAACUCGCUUCAGUCACCGUAAUGACCAGCUUUUAAAAUGACAACAAACAUCACUCCUCAAUGGCUUCCACCACCAUGGGCACACCGGAUGACCAUUACGAAGAAAAAAAAUGUGCCCGUCGAAACCUUUCUGACCGGUUCGCUUGAACCUGGAGGAAAAAUAGUGGUGGCUGCCUAGAAAAGUUCAGAGAAGCACAAAAAAAAAAACAGCAACUUAUAUAACAAGCCAAACAUAUUAUUUUAUGCACCAUCAUACACAAAAGCCAUCUUCCGCUUUCCGUGAUGGCCUGGCCACCACCCAUCCGUACGGAGCGGGACUCGCUCGGCCGGUUCCUUAGGUUCUUCUGGUCUCCAACCGCUUUGUCUACUUCAUCCAAUCUCAUUUAUUAUCCCCAUCCCGUAAUCCUCAACCGGUGGUGUGAUGCUCCUUCAACUAUGCGUACCGUGAGUUGGGGACAACCUGAUCACCAAAAAAAAAUCAAGCAGCGCCAAACAAGCAUAGCAUAGCACAGCACACCAGGAACAAUUGUGAGGCUACCACCAUGCACGAAUAAUAUACCACAGACAUCUAUUGAUGAAGAUCUGCAGCCGAUAAGUGUUCUCCGCUGAUACACACCAAGUUUCACUGGCGCACUGCAGCACAGAUUUCACGAUCGAAUUAAAAAUUCGGAUUUUGGAACGUCGAUUUGACAUUUCUUGAACUCGCAAAAGCUGCCCUCGCAAUUUUGCUACAGGUCGGACUCGAUUAUACGGAAUCGGAAAUUUCAACUUUGUACAACAUUUCGUUCCUGGGAAAUAUGUUUGGGAAGCUGCGGAACCCGACUCCGGAUAAUCGAGUCCGACCUGUACUACGAUAUUGGAAGCUUUCAACAUUCUCCAUAGCUUGCAUGCUAAUUUGCUUCAAAAGGGAUUUGAUCAUUUCAAACAUGUUCUGAAACAACUACUUGUUUGCAGUUUUGCUACAGGGUAUAUUCUCAAAUCCUGACGGGAUAUUACUGUAAAGUUUAUUCCGAAAGUGGGUCGUGCAUCGUAUGAAGAAGCAAAGAGUUUCAGACCUAUCAGUUUGACCUCUUUUCUUCUGAAAUGCUUAGAACGCAUUGUCGAUCAUCACAUCCGUGAUGUUCAUCUGGCCAAUGUACCUCUUCAUGUGAACCAACAUGCUUACCAAUCUGGAAAGUCCACUGUGACUCUUUUACACAAAGUUGUUUACGAUAUCAAGAAGGCAUUCGCUCAAAAGCAAUCCUGCUUGGGUGUUUUCUUAGAUAUCGAGGGUGCCUUUGACAAUGUGCCUUUCGAUGCCAUAUUGGAAGCCGCACGGGGUCAUGGUAGGGAUACUCAAAAUAACUGGGACAGGUAAAAUUUUCACUUUCCAAGAAAUGUUCAAAUCGCUGUAACUUUUCAAAAAGGGCAUCACAUAUUCUCAAUUUUUUAUUGUAAGUUCAUCAACUAGUUGUGUAUCAGUGGUCAAAAUUUGGGAAGGAUCGGGCCAUUCUACACAAAGUUAUAAAGGUUCUAGAAAAAUGUAUAAUUUUCCGAUAGUCAAUUUUGAGCUGUUAUAUCUCCGGAUUCAAUGAACCGAAUGCAAUGAAAUUUUGAUCAUUUAUGAAUUUAAGGUAUUAUGACUUAAUACCUUAUAAAACAUUUGACUAAACUUAAAAUUCUUCACACGAAAGAAAAUUAUUUCGAUUAGAUUAUUUUUCUAAUAUAACACCAAUUUCUCCAAAACUUCAUCAUCGUUUCAAAAUUCGAGAUAGUAAUUAUAGUUCAUUUAAAUUCCCUCUAAUUGAAUUGAAUAUAUUUAUGUUUCAAAGAAAAGCAACCAAAUAGCCUUCAUUAAAUUGAAAAAGGAAUGGGAUGCAUAUGAAAAAUAGAUAAAUUUACUGAAAAAACAUGGAAUUAAUGAAAUCGCCAUAACUUUUUUUUCUUGUUAAUAAUUUCGAAUUAAGUCAACGGUUUUUUAAAGUUCAUUAUUUAAAUAAAUGAUCAAAAUUUCAUUGCAUUCGGUUCAUUGAAUCCGGAGAUAUAGCAGCUCAAAAUUGGCUAUCGGAUAAUUAUACCUUUUUCUAGAACCUUUAUAACUUUGUGUAGAAUGGCCCGAUCCUUUCCAAAUUUUGACCACUGAUACACAACUAGUUGAUGAGGUUACAGUAAAAAUUUGAGAAUAUUUGAUGCCCUUUUCGAAAAGUUACAGCGAGUUGAACAUUUUUUGAAAAGUGAAAAUUUUUCCUGUCCCAGUUAUUUUGAGUAUCCCCUGUAUAUCUCCAAUGAUUUCCAAUUGGAUUCACCAAAUGCUCAAAAACCGACAUCUCUUCUCGACAUUGAGUCAAGCGGCGAUUAGGAAAUUGAGUGUUUGUGGAUGCCCCCAAGGGGGAGUCUUAUCACCACUUUUGGUUAAUCUCGUAGCAGAUACGCUAUUGAGGCAACUCAAUAAUAGCGGUUUUUCUACUUAUGGUUUUGCCGACGACUACCUAGCAUUGGGUAAUUCUCGCGGAGACCGGCCCACUAUUUACACCUUGUCUUCAAAAAUGUUUAAGGUACCGAUUUUCUGAAAGCCCUCACUAAAAAAGUAAGAAAAAUGCAUUUGGUUACUCGAAUUGAUGGACCCCCCGUUAGUUAGAGCCAGUGUUGGUAAAAUCACACUCAAAGCAGACUCAUGAACCGCUUCUGCGUGAGCAAACUCGCGCGCGAUUCUGAAUCAUUUUCUCACGCGCGAGAUUUUCAUGCAAAAUCUCGUACUCACGAGUCAAGCGUCGAAAUCUCGUUCGCUUGUAAAACGAAUCCAAAUCAAUUUGAACGGCAUUCAAUGUUAUUGUUCGCUAGAUUUGCUUUUGUUCUAUCAUAUAAUAGUAAAAGCUUUGAUGUAAAUAAUAAGAACACCAAGAAAUAAAGCAAUGAGUGAAAUCGCGAGUCAACUCAUGCAUGAUUUUUUCGGCGGUGAGUUUGGCGAGUGAAGAAUCGCGCGUGAAAUAACUCAACCAUGAGAUUUGAGAAUUUGAGUUUUUACCAACACUGGUUAGAGCCACAAUAAUUUUUGCAGACCCCUCGAUUUUGGUCAAACGGUGGCUCACUUAAACCGUUAUGACUCGAAAGUUUCUCCAAAAAACCACCUCAAAACGAAUUGUUGUUGAAAAGAGGAAAGAUAGAGCUACUAUUUACAAUAAUUAAAAGUUGGGUCGGCCAUAUUGAUUUUGGCCGCCAUCUUGGAUUUUUAUACCAAAACAUUACAUCAAUUGAAAGCUGAGGCAUUUAUACAUAACAUAUCAAAAAAUUAGAGAUGUCUUUUUCUUCUUUCAAAAGUUAUCUGCCGUUUUGUAAAUCAUGCCACUUUUGCGCACUGGGCCCGGUGCCGGCUGUUUAUAUAAAUACAGCGUUAUUUCGCAGUGUUUACGAACACAAAUUUAAAUUCUGAUCCCACUAAUGGAAAGCUGAAGGUUUAAGCUUUUUAAAACACUAAAAAAGUUAUGAAAGCAUUGCCCGCAUCAUUGAGAAACAGUCAAAAACGGAAACGAACCUCUGAUUUGGCCAAAUUUUGCGGCACGUACCUUUGUGUAUACAUGCAGGCGUAAACUCAGAUGCUGUUGCAUGUCGUUGCCGAUGCGCAUGGAAAUGUAUGGGGAAAACGUGGCUUAAUUUACAAAACUGCAGAUAACUUUUGAAAGGGAAAAAGACAUCUCUAAUUUUUUGAUAUGUUAUGUAUAAAUGUCUCAGCUUUCAAUUGGGUUUUUAAAUUAAGAAAAAUUCAAUGAUAUUCUAUUUUUAAACAAAAGAGCACCUUUUUCUGAGCCACCAUGAUUUUUUGCAGAUUUUUAGAACUUUAUUUUGGUACCUAUAAUCAAUUUCAAAUAGAUUUUUUGAAAUCACCUUUUGACAACUGGGCAACUGCAUGACAGCUCCGCUCAGUACAAAAUGCGACGAGGGAUGAUUCGACAAAUCGCUCCCAUACAAAUUUCAAAUUGAUUUUUAAAUAGGUUCCCGGGUACCAAAUUUGAUGAAAAUUUGGAUUUCGGCUCAGUUUGGCAUGCAGAUUCAGAAUAUGAAAUUAUCUCAACACCACUAAAGUAGCCAAUUGAUGCAAAAAUUUUGAAAAUCGGCGGUUGCCCUCAUGGCGAAAAAAAUGUUUUGGUGUAAAAAUCCAAGAUGGCGGCCAAAAUCAAUAUGGCCGACCCAACUUUUCAUUAUUGUAAAUAGUAGCUCUAUCUUUCCUCUUUUCAACAACAAUUCGUUUUGAGGUGUUUUUUGGAGAAACUUUCGAGCUAUAACGGUUUAAGUGAGCCACCAUUUGACCAAAAUCGAGGGGUCUGCUAAAAUUAUUGUGGCUUUAACUAACGGGGGAUCCAUCAAUUUGAGUAACCAAAUGCAUUUUUCUUACUUUUUUAGCGAGGGCUUUCAGAGAAUCGGCACCUUAACCCUCUAAUACCCAAAUUUUCGAUUUUGAUCUCAAUGUCAUUUUUCGUCAUCUAAAAUCGUUUUAAACAUGUUUUGGAAGAUGAUUCUUUUUAAUUCUCGAUUUUGUGAAUUUCAGUUUUUGAUUUUUAUUAAUUUUUAUUUUUGAACAUCCCCACACUUUUUAUGUUUUUCCUGGAAGCCUAUUUGGGAGACGGAUUUUUUGAGACGAAAACAUUUUGAGAUUUUAUGAUUAUUAUUGAAAUAUUUUUAUUUUAAAUUUUUUUCAUAGAAAAUUUUAUUCUCCGUGUAAUUUUAAGAAAAAUAAUUUUAGAGUGUAUUCGACUCCCUCAAACUAUUUUACUAUGAUAGUAUGAUUUGGGAAAAAUUUUAAAUAUGUUAAUUGUUCCGAUUCAAUACAAAAUAUACAAUGACUUCUGAAAGGUGACUAAAACAUCAAUUUUACAAUGAUUUAAAAAAAAUGUUAAUACGAUUUAAAAGACACUAAAAACCAUUUUGAGAUAUACAGAAUAGUUCCAAAUAUCAGCCAAAAAUAUAGAAAAAUUGAUUGUCCGUGAAACAAAAAUUACAGAAAUGCUCAAAUUAUACCCCGUCUAAAGGCGGGAUUGGGUAUUAGAGGGUUAAACAUUUUUGAAGACAAGGUGUAAAUAGUAGGCCGGUCUCAGCGAGAGUUACCCAUUGUAAGUCGGUAUGUGCAUCAGCACCCUUUUCGACCUGAUACAAAACGCUCUUCAGGUAGUUGAGGGUUGGGUCACCAAUAUGGCCUUUCGGUAAAUCCGAGUAAAACAUCUAUUGUUCUUUUCACGGAAAAGCGAAACCGUAAUGGUGUUCGACCUUUACGUCUCUUUGAUUCUGAAAUCAAUGUUACUAAACAGGUAAAGUACGUUGGAGUCAUUCUUGAUUCCAAGCUUUCCUGGACACCUCAUAUUGAGUUCAGAAUCAAGAAAGCUUGUAUGGCCUUCGGGCAAUGCCAGCGAACCUUUGAUACACCUUUGGGUCUUAAACCCAAGUAUAUCAAAUGGAUUUACACAACUGUUGUUCGUCCUAUAUUGGCUUAUGGAUGUCUAGUGUGGUGGCAAAAGGGCGAAGUGAGAACGGUCCAAUCAAAAUUAGGCCAUCUCCAAAAGAUGUUCUUAAUGGCGAUGUCGGGAGCGUUCUUUUCAACUCCCACGGCAGCGCUCGAAGCUCUCUUUGACGUUGCCCCACUACACAUUCAUCUCAAACAAGAAGCACUUUCUUGCACUUACCGUCUAUGGUUACUCGGUUUACUAGAGGAAACUCCUGUGAACCGCAGUUCAACACACACCUCGUUGUUUCCACUUUUGGUGAAUUGGGACAAAGUUGUCCUUGCUCCAAGUGAUCUUACAAUUGCUUGUAAUUUCCCAUUCCGGACAUUUUCCACGAAAUUCCCUUCCCGGGAAGAGUGGACAUCUGGCUAUCUGGAAAGAAGUAUUUCAGACGGCAUCGUAUGCUACACUGAUGGCUCCCUUCUCGAAGGUCGAGCAGGUGCUGGUGUUUAUUCUCGUGAGCUAAGACUGCAUCAGUCUUACUCACUUGGUAGACACUGCACCGUUUUUCAGGCCGAAAUCUUGGCUCUUAUGUGCGGAGUGCAAUCAGCACUUCAGCAGCACGUAAUGGGCAAAGUAAUAUACUUCUGUUCAGAUAGCUAGGCUGUUAUUAAAGCACUUGCUUCGGCCAACUCUAGGUCGAAGAUAGUUAUCGCUUGUCGAAAUCAAAUCGAGGAGCUAAAUUCAGCAAACGCUGUUCACCUUGUAUGGGUACUUGGCCAUUCUUCCAUCACUGGAAAUGAAUUGGCUGAUGAGUUAGCUCGCACUGGAGCAUCACAUGACUUCAUUGGCCCUGAGUCAGCUAUUCUGAUAUCCAAGAGUGGGGUAAAGCUUCAGAUUGACACCUGGGUUGCCACUCAGCACAAACAGUACUGGAAUAGUUUGGAGUCAUGUCGUCAAGCCAAAUUGUAUUGUAUUGAUUGAGCCAUCUCCAAGGGUGGCGAAGUAGGUAUCUUAGAAAUCUGUCAAAGCAGAAUUGCAGUAUUCUGGCCAAAGCAUUAACUGGCCACUGCCGACUCAGCUAUCACAUGACGAAUAUUCAGCAAGCUGAUUCAUUUGCAUGUGAUAGCUGUGAAUCCGAUUAUGGAACUUCGUAUCAUUUAAUAAGUUAACUGUCCAGUUUUUGCGCAAUUGCGUUUCCGAGUACUCGGAAAACACUUAUUAAGUGAAAUUGACUUCAGAAACCUGAAUCUUCAGGACGUUCUGUUGUUUUUAACCCGCUGUGGUAAAGAGCUAUAGGCUCUCUUUACGCUUUAUGCGUUAUCACAGUGCCCUUCUCAGGGCGCUGUUUGAACCCAUUGUGGUACGCUUAUGCGUUAUUACAGUGUACUUUUCAGGACGCUAUGUGAACCCAUUGUGGUACGCUUUUGCGAGUAUGAUGAUCCUAUUCCCUUACCUGUCCUUUCCCAUGUCCUAUCCUUUUUCCUACCCUUCUCCGUCAGGUAAAUGAUGAAUAGGCUCGUGUUCAUGGCGAUGGCACAAAUUUCCCAAAUGGAGGAGAACGUGCCUCUGGAGCCGACCUACUGAUACCUGAUAUCUGAAGGAUUCCACCAGAUCUUCCUCCAGGAAUUGCUUCAGGGACUCCUGGGAUUGCUUCAGGAUUUCUUUUUUUGAUUCCUCCAGAAAUUCAUGCAUGCAUUCCUCCAGGAAUUAAUUCAAGAAUUCCCUAAUAAAUGAUGUCAGCAAUUCAUCCAGGAAUUUAUCCAGGAAUUCUUCAGAAAUUCUUCCAGGAUUUUCUCUAAGAAUACCUUUUGGAAUUUUUCCAGGAAUUCCUCCAAGAAUUCUUCCAGAUCUUCCUCCAGGAAAUGCAGCAAGGAUUCCUCCAGGAAUUCCGCUAAAAAUUCCUCCAGGAGCUUCUUUAGGGAUUUUUCUAGGGAUUUCUCCACGAAUUUCUCCAAUGAUUCCUCAGGGAUUCCUUCAGAAAUUCCUUUGAGGGUUUCUCCAGGAAUUCCUCAAGAAAUUUCUCUAAAAAUUCUUCCAGGAAUUUCUCAGGGGAAAUUUUCAGAAAUUUCUCCCAGGGUUCCUCUAGUCUAAAGAUUCACCCAGAAACUUAUUCAGUAAUUUUUAUAAAAAUUCUUCCAGGAAUUCCUUCAAGGAUUCCUCCAGCAAUUUUCAAAGGCAUUCUACCAAGAUUUCAUUCAGUAAUUUCUUCAGGGGAAAUUCUCGAGGAAUUACCCCAAGAAGUUCUCCAGGAAUUCCUCCAGGAAUUUCUCUAGGAAUUUAUCCAGGAAUUGCUCCUGGACGGACAUCCUUCAGAAAAUAUGACAGCAAAUCCAGGAUUUUCUUCAGAAAAUUUUCUGGGGAUUUUUUCACAAAUUCUUCCAGGAAAUUCUACAAGAAUAUCCUGAGGAUUUUUUUUUAGGGAUUCUUCCUGGCAUUUCUCUAGGAAUUUCGCCUGAGAUUUCUCCAUUAAUUGCUUCCGGUAUUCAUCCAAGGAUUUCUUCUCGAACUUUUUCAGGGGUUUUCUCAGGGAUUCCUCCAGGAAAUCCUUCGAAGAUUCCUCCAGGAAAUCCUCUAGGGAUUUCUUCAGAAAAUAUUUCAGGAAGUUCUCCAGGAAUACCUUCCAGGAAAUUCCCCUGGAGAUUUCUCUAGAAAUUCAUUCAGUAGUUCUUUCAAAAAUUCUUCUAGAGAUUCCACCAGGAAUUACCUCAUGGAUUUUUCCAGCAAUUUCCACAGGAAUUCCUCCAGAAUUUUAUCAGAAAUUUCAGAAACUCCUCCAGGAAUUACCCCAAGAUUUUUUUUCAGGAAUUUCUUCAAAUAUUUCUCCAGGAAUUGCUCCUGGGCAUCCUUCAGAAAUUAUGUCAGCAAUUCCUCUAGGGAUUCCUCCAGGUAUUUCUCCAGGAAUUUCUCCUGAGAUUCCAUGAGGAAUAGCUUCAUGGAUUCCUCCAGAGUUUCUAGAAGGAUUUUUCUAAGGAUUUCUCAAAGAAAUCCUUCAAAGAUUCCUCCAGGAAAUCCCUCAGAAGUUCUUCCAGGGAUUCUUUCAGAAAAUCCUAUAGGAAUACCUUCAGAAAUUCUUCCAGAAAAUUCUCCAGGAAUACUUUCAGGAUUUUUUCAGGGAUUUCUCCAGAUAUUCAUUCAGAAAUUUCUCUAGAGAUUCCUUCAGGGAUUUCUCCACAAAUUUCUUCAAGGAUUCCCCCAGGGAUUCUUUCAGGAAUUCCUUCGGGGAUUUCUCAAGGGAUUUUUUUUUUCAGAAAUAGAAAAAUAAUAGAAAUAGCAAUGCCCCAGAAUUCCUCUGGAGAUUUUAAAAAAAAAUUCAGUAAUUCUUUCAAGAUUUCCUCUAGAGAUUCCUCAAGCAAUUCCCACAGGAAUACCUCUAGGAAUUCCUCCAGGCAUUCCUCCAUGAUUGCAUCCAGGAAUUUCUCCAGGAACUUCUCCAGGAACCUCUCCAGGAAUUCCUCCAGGAAAUAACCCAGAAAUUUCUUCAGGAUUUCCUCCAGGAAUUGCUUCUGGGUAUCCUUCUGAAAUUAUAUCAGCAAUUCCUUCAGGAAUUUCUCCAGGAAAUCCUCUAGGGAUUUCUUAGGAGAUUCUUCUAGGAAAUGUUCCAGGAAUACUUUCAGGAUUUUUUCAGGGUUUCCUCCAGAAAUUCCUCUAGGGUUUUCUUCAGAGAUUCCUCCAGGGAUUCCUCCAGAAAUUUCUCCAAGGGUUCUUCCAGAAAAUCCUCUUAGAAUUUCUCAAGGGAUUUUUUCAUAAAUUUCUUCAGUAAUUCCUCCCAGAAUUCCUCUGAAGAUUUCUUCAGAAAUUCUUUCAGGGAUUGCUCCAAGAAAUUGCUCCAAGAAUUCCGGCUGGGUCUCAUCCAAGUAUUCCUCCAGGAAUUACGCCCGGAGUUUGUUCAGAAGUUUCUCCAGGCAUUCCUCUAGGAUUCUCGCUAGAGGUUUUCUCAGUAAUUGCUCCAAGGAUUCCUCCAGGAAUUCCUUCUGGGAUUUCUCCAAGAAUUCCCCCAAGGAAUCCUCCAGAAGUUUAUGUAGGAUUUCGUCUAGGAUUUUAUCAUGAGAUCUCUUCAGAAAUUUCUCUGGGUAUUCUUCCCAUAAUUUAUACAGGAAUUUCAUCAGGUAUACUUUCAAAAAUUCUUCCAGGGAUUCCUCCAGGAAUUUCACCGGGAAUUCCUCCAGGCAUUCCUUUAAAAAUUGCAACAGGGAUUCAUCCAGGUUUUUCUUCAAGGAUUUAUCCAGGAAGUCUUCCAGGGAUUUCUCCGGGAAUUCCUCAAGUAAUUUCUUCAAAAAUUCCUCUCAAGUUCUCUUCAAAAAUUCAGUCAGGAGUUCCUUCAAAAAUUUCAGGAAUGUACCCAAGAACUUUUUCAGGAUUACGUGAUGUUAUUUUUUUUUUAUUAUUCUAAGAAUUUUUGAAGGAAUUCCUCCAGCGAAUAAUAUUGGAAGAUAAUUGAAAAGGGAUGCAUAGAGGAACCAGGAAAUUCUAGGUUAGUCUUCAUAAAAGUUCAGCUAUAAUUUCUUGUGAAUAUUUUAUAGACUUUAACAAUAUAACAAUCAGAGCAAAAUAAUGCACGAGUGAAUAAAAAUCCUUAAUUUUCCCGAAGUUGGUCACCGCUACCAGCAUCACAUUGAUUUGUAUACAUCAGGCGAGUUUUUUUAAUGCAUUGAACAAAAUACAACAGCGUGAGAGCUGAAGGAUUAAAUAAUGCUUUAGGAAUAUAUUGUUAGUAUACUCAAUUUCAUCGUGCUGCGUUUAGUUAUCAAAGCUAGUAGGUACAAAUUUGCGAAGGGUGCUUGAACCCCCCUCCCCCCUGUCCGAAAAGCUGGCAACGCCCUUGGUAACAUAUGCUAGAAUUUCUCUAGAAAUUCCAACUUCUCUAUUUCCAGAAAUUCUAUUAGGAAUUUCUCUAGAGUUUUCUUUUGGAAUUCCUUUAACUGGAGUUCCAGCAGGAAUUUCAUAAAAAAUGCCUCGAGUUCCCCAUGAAUAUAAUCCAUGGAAGAGUUCCUCAAUGAGUAUUCAGAAUAGUCCUGGGAAGAAUCGCCAAAGACAUUUCCGGAAACAUCCUAGGAAGGUUGCCCGAAAGAAUCCCAGCAAAAUUACCGAGAGAAAUCCCUAGAGAGAUUCUUGUAGGUAUCAUAGUAAGAAUCACUUGUGAAAUCCCCGCUGCAGUUCCUGGAUGAAAGUUUUUUGAAGAAAUACCAGGCGUUGGCGUAGCCAGCUUUUUUCAUUCAUUCUCCUUGAUAAACACAAGAAAGAGCCUCUUCCAUCCUUCUCUUUCACGUGUUUGUUAAUGAGAGUGAGUAAAAAAAGAGAAAGCUGGCUACGGAGGAGGAUCAUUCAAGAAGAAUCUUAGGAAAAAUCUGUGGAGGAAUUUUCAAAGGAUUCUAGGAUGAAUCAUAGUAGAAAUUUCAGUAAUUACACUGCUGAUUGCUGAGAGAAAAGUGUUAAUUAUAGCACCGACUUUUCAGAGAAACUUAAAAUAAUUCUUAAUACGAGAAUCGAACUCAGAUCUUCCGAGUGAGAGCUCACGCCUAACCCCUCUAGGCUGUCUCACCAAGUUGAAGAGAAGGCAAUCAAAGAUAAACAUGUUCCACCAUAAAGGAACAAAUUGUUGUACCGCUUCGGUCACAUAGAGCGAGAGAGAGCAGUCCACGCAGCGAGGCAGACGACUGAGCGUAGCUGUCCUCGUUUACGUUACUGCAUGUAAAUUUCAAGCGAAUAUGUCUCAAAAUCUGUAAACAGUGCGCAUGAUUGGCUGAUUACUAAGCGGACAGUAUCAUCUCACGGUAAAUGGCUGUAAUUUUGUAGCUUCUGCUAUAAUUUUCAGUCGAUGCUUAACUUACGUGUUGUUUAAUUUUCAUGAUUUCUUUCUGUGUAGAGAAGUCCCUGAAAGAACUGGUAGAAGUACACACCUAGAAAUUCUGAAAUUCGCACGAAACGGAAUCACCAAAGAACGUAAACGUUUUCAAGACUGAAUCAUAAUUUGGACUCAAUUUUACGCGCAUCAUGUAAGUGCUGGUUGGUUGCGUUAAAUGUCAACAAAUUCGUUUCACCAGAAACGUAGAAGCAGUAUCACGUUCAUCAGCCACCUUCUAACUCGGUGAAAUAGCCGAGAGGUAAAAGAUGUGGCUCACGAUCAGGAGAUCCGGUGUUCGAAUCCACGCAUGGCGUCAUUUACUUUUCUAUGUUUGACAGCUUUGACAGCGGUUUUAGCGAUUGCUAGACGCUAAGAAAAAAAUAAGUUUUAUUUUGGGGUGUCUUGAACGACGUAAAUUUACAUGUUUUAACCUCUAAAUUUGUGUUUUUGGAGAUGCUCGUAUAUGUCAGGUUCAGGACACUUAAAAUUACAUGAUAUUUUCUAGGUGUGUAUUCUGGAAGAAUCCAUAGAAAAGAGCCGGAAGGAAUUUCUGGAGGAAUUUCAGGAGGAAUCUCAAGAAAUUUCGAGGAAGAAUUCCAGCAAGAAUGCCAGGAUAAAAUCCCUUAGGAAUCAUUUUCUGUAGGAAGAAUUGCUAGAAGAGAGAGAAAUACCUUGAAGAACCCUUUGAGGAAGACAAAGAGGUGUUUCUGCAGGAAUUUCAUGGGGAAAUUCUGGUGGAAUCUUCGGGUAAAACCUUUGAAGGAAUUUCUGGAUAAGCUCUUGUAGCAAUCCCCUGAAAAACAUUCGAAGGAACGCCUGCAAAAAUUCCAGGAAGAUUUCCCUGAAGGAUUUCUGUACGAAAGCUAGAAGAAAGCUCUAGAAGAAUUCCUAGCAGAUUUUUUGAAAUACCACAGUUAGAAUUUCUGGAGGAGUCAUAGCAAGAAUAGCUGGAAGAGCCACAGGAAUAAUUACUUGAUGAAUCCCAGCUAUAUUUUUUUAAGGAAGACUACGAAGAGCUUAUGGUGGAUUCCCAAGAAAAAUUACUGGAGUAAUCUCUGCAGGAGUCUCUGAAGGGGUCACCGAAUUAACUUCUGGAAUAAUCUCACAAGGGAAGCUUACGAUGGUGUCCCCCGGGGAUUUCAACCGGACUAUUUUUUUAGCAUUCUACAUGUGGAAAUAUGAUAAAAUCUAAAGCCUUUCGGGUGAUGGGCCAGUAAUGUAGUCAGGAGGGGCUCUCGAAGGGGCAAAUUUGACCAAACAUAACAUUUUUGGAAAAGCUCAACCGUCAUCAAUAUGCAAAUUUCAACAUAUAUUGCAGUAGAAACUGGCAGAAUAUGCAUGAAUACAUGAUUUCGCAACAAAUUUAAUAUACCAUAGGCGUUGCCAGGAUGAGAUGGGUGAUACACAUAGUGAUACAUUUUUAUUCAAAUAACAUCAACUAGUUCUUACCUUGGCAACGCCUAAGGUAAAUUAAAUUUGUUGCGAAAUCAUGUAUUCAUGCAUAUUCUGCCAGUUUCUACUGCAAUAUAGGGUGGGCGGGGCAAGAUGGGUCACCUUUUAAGUAAUUCACAUUUUCUCAACGAAAAACGUCAAAAUAUAAGAUUUGUUCCGCAUUCAUAUAUGCUCCAUAUCCAUACUGAAUAAACAAGAGCUACUAGUAAACAUUUUAUAGAUUUAUUUGGAAUAUAAAAAACUUUACGAUUUGAGUGGUCCUAAGGCGUCUUGAAAAUCGAUGUUUUCACUAAAAAAUUAUCAUAAUUUUAUGUUAUAAUUUUGAGUGUUCAUUCCGCUUGAUUGAAGUCAUUUAUGAGAUAGUCUUGUAAUGAAAAAUAAAUAACUUUUGAAUGCUCCAAAAAUACGUUCAAAAUUGAAGGUGACCCAUCUUGCCCCGCGGCCGUUUAUAUGGAGAUUAUAUGGAAUGUAUCGCAUAAGAAAAAUGGCUAAAAACCAUUUUAUUUUUUAUUUCCAAUGAGAGUGAAUAAUUUUUCAAUCAAUGCCCCAAACUUUUGUAUAUUCAUGCUGGUCAUCUAACAAAAUUAUUAAUCUAAACAAAACAUGAGUAAUGCGCCCAAAAAUGGCACUGACCCAUCUUGCCCCGUGACCCAUCUUG
Long non-coding RNA from Aedes albopictus (Asian tiger mosquito), 14512 nucleotides. RefSeq lists it as uncharacterized. The transcript is spliced from 2 exons. The record is from RefSeq and is a predicted model, not a curated record. Lineage: Eukaryota; Metazoa; Arthropoda; Insecta; Diptera; Culicidae.